CAGAGAGGACACAGAUAGCUCCCAGUCAGUCGCACCUUCAGUCGCUCCUGCAGACGGCCUUCAACGUUUUCAGAUGUUUGAUUUGAGCCGAGAAAAACAAAAGGAAUCGAAGAGGAACUAAAGGAGCCAAUCAGACGCCAUCGGCAGGAAUAUUCCAUGUGUUCUAUCCUUCAUUCCACCGGAGUCUGUAUCUGCAGUUAACCAGAUUUCAGUGGUGUGAAGUGUAAGAGACAUGGGGAUAUGACUUCACCAGCAAAAGAGUCACAACACCAGACGGCAGCCGAGUCACAAGGUCCAGGAAAUAACUCAGUUUGCUGUUUUUCCAUUGGUUGUAUUUUCAAAGACAGAAACGAUAUCUUCUCUUAUGAAAUCCUGCUCUUCACGGUGCUGUGUACCUUUCCUGUGAUACAUAGAAAAUAUAAAAUAUGCCAUGUGUGUAUUCUCAUCAAUAAGAUAAUGUACUGAGCAACUCAGUAAUGUGAAUAAACUCCCUGACCUCCC
Pleuronectes platessa (European plaice) is the source of this 501-nucleotide long non-coding RNA. RefSeq lists it as uncharacterized. The record is from RefSeq and is a predicted model, not a curated record. NCBI's taxonomy places the organism in Eukaryota, Metazoa, Chordata, Actinopteri, Pleuronectiformes, Pleuronectidae. The transcript has 2 exons.